GAUGGAAAACAGGUUAAUAUUCCUGUACCACCUAAUUGUUGUUUGAGAGAAGGGGGGACGCAGGAGGGCAGGUCAUCCGUCUGUUGGAAUAGGCGGUUCAAGCCGGUAGGCUGAUUGAGCAGGCAAAUCCGUUCGAUCUUUAAAGCCGAGAAGUGAUGAGGAGGGGGUAACCCCGUAAACUGACUGCACCCAUGCUGCCAAGAAAAGCCUCUAUUGAGACAAUAGGUGAUCGUACCGUAAACCAACACAGGUAGGCAGGGAGAGUAUCCCGAGGCGCUUGAGAGAACUCUGGUUAAGGAACUCGGCAAAAUUGCACCGUAACUUCGGGAGAAGGUGUGCCCCCAUUAGGUGAUUGUUUUUUCAUUCAUGAGCCGAAGGGGGUUGCAGUGAAAUGGGGG
Molecule: ribosomal RNA, 398 nt
Filed under: Ctenophora environmental sample
Lineage: Eukaryota; Metazoa; Ctenophora
Description: partial Bacterial large subunit ribosomal RNA
Rfam family: Bacterial large subunit ribosomal RNA
Source: RNAcentral